This 328-nucleotide ribosomal RNA is filed under the name uncultured eukaryote. RNAcentral describes it as "partial 18S ribosomal RNA". It matches the Rfam family "Eukaryotic small subunit ribosomal RNA", at positions 1470 to 1796 of the family's 1831-position model. The record is from RNAcentral.
CCCUUAGAUGUCCUGGGCCGCACGCGCGCUACACUGAGUGUCUGAGAUACGAGUCUGCCUAGCCGGCGAGGUCUAGGUAAUCGCUGAAAGACACAUCAUGCUUGGGAUAGAUUAUUGCAGAUAUUAAUCUUGAACGAGGAAUUCCUAGUAAGCGCAAGUCAACAGCUUGCGUUGAUUACGUCCCUGCCCUUUGUACACACCGCCCGUCGCUACUACUGAUUGGAUGUUUAAGCGAGGUUCUCGAACUGCUAGCGACUUAGCUUCGGUGAGGUCGCCGUGUGGGAAGUGAACCUAGCUUUGGUGUCUAGAGGAAGUAAAGGUCGUAUCA